This 697-nucleotide ribosomal RNA is filed under the name uncultured Alphaproteobacteria bacterium. RNAcentral's name for it is "bacterial SSU rRNA". It matches the Rfam family "Bacterial small subunit ribosomal RNA", at positions 28 to 773 of the family's 1533-position model. The record is from RNAcentral. Lineage: Bacteria; Pseudomonadati; Pseudomonadota; Alphaproteobacteria.
AACGAACGCUGGCGGCAGGCUUAACACAUGCAAGUCGAGCGCCCCGCAAGGGGAGCGGCAGACGGGUGAGUAACGCGUGGGAAUCUACCCAUCACUACGGAACAACUCCGGGAAACUGGAGCUAAUACCGUAUACGUCCUUCGGGAGAAAGAUUUAUCGGUGAUGGAUGAGCCCGCGUUGGAUUAGCUAGUUGGUGGGGUAAUGGCCUACCAAGGCGACGAUCCAUAGCUGGUCUGAGAGGAUGAUCAGCCACACUGGGACUGAGACACGGCCCAGACUCCUACGGGAGGCAGCAGUGGGGAAUAUUGGACAAUGGGCGCAAGCCUGAUCCAGCCAUGCCGCGUGAGUGAUGAAGGCCCUAGGGUUGUAAAGCUCUUUCAACGGUGAAGAUAAUGACGGUAACCGUAGAAGAAGCCCCGGCUAACUUCGUGCCAGCAGCCGCGGUAAUACGAAGGGGGCUAGCGUUGUUCGGAUUUACUGGGCGUAAAGCGCACGUAGGCGGAUUGUUAAGUUAGGGGUGAAAUCCCAGGGCUCAACCCUGGAACUGCCUUUAAUACUGGCAAUCUCGAGUCCGGAAGAGGUGAGUGGAAUUCCGAGUGUAGAGGUGAAAUUCGUAGAUAUUCGGAGGAACACCAGUGGCGAAGGCGGCUCACUGGUCCGGUACUGACGCUGAGGUGCGAAAGCGUGGGGAGCAAAC